RNAcentral lists this ribosomal RNA (303 nucleotides) under uncultured bacterium. Its description in RNAcentral is "bacterial SSU rRNA". It matches the Rfam family "Bacterial small subunit ribosomal RNA", at positions 355 to 673 of the family's 1533-position model. The record is from RNAcentral.
UGGGGAAUAUUGGGCAAUGGGCGAAAGCCUGACCCAGCAACGCCGCGUGAAGGAAGAAGGCUUUCGGGUUGUAAACUUCUUUUGACAGGGAAGAGCAGAAGACGGUACCUGUCGAAUAAGCCACGGCUAACUACGUGCCAGCAGCCGCGGUAAUACGUAGGUGGCAAGCGUUGUCCGGAUUUACUGGGUGUAAAGGGCGUGUAGCCGGGCUGACAAGUCAGAUGUGAAAUCCGGGGGCUCAACCCCCGAACUGCAUUUGAAACUGUUGGUCUUGAGUAUCGGAGAGGCAGGCGGAAUUCCUAG